UACGGAGGGUGCGAGCGUUAUUCGGAAUUACUGGGCGUAAAGCGCGUGUAGGCGGGGGGACAAGUCUGAUGUGAAAGCCCUGGGCUUAACCUGGGAAGCGCAUUGGAAACUGUUUUUCUUGAGUACUGGAGAGGAAGGGGGAAUUCCCGGUGUAGAGGUGAAAUUCGUAGAGAUCGGGAGGAAUACCAGUGGCGUAGGCGCCCUUCUGGACGGUAACUGACGCUGAGACGCGAAAGCGUGGGGAGCAAACAGGAUUAGAUACCCUCGUAGUCC
This 273-nucleotide ribosomal RNA is filed under the name uncultured prokaryote. Its description in RNAcentral is "partial 16S ribosomal RNA". It matches the Rfam family "Bacterial small subunit ribosomal RNA", at positions 524 to 796 of the family's 1533-position model. The record is from RNAcentral.